UACGUAGGGACCAAGCGUUGUUCGGAUUUACUGGGCGUAAAGGGCGCGUAGGCGGCGUGGUAAGUCACUUGUGAAAUCUCUGAGCUUAACUCAGAACGGCCAAGUGAUACUGCUGUGCUAGAGUGCAGAAGGGGCAAUCGGAAUUCUUGGUGUAGCGGUGAAAUGCGUAGAUAUCAAGAGGAACACCUGAGGUGAAGACGGGUUGCUGGGCCGACACUGACGCUGAGUGCGCGAAAGCCAGGGGAGCAAACGGG
This 254-nucleotide ribosomal RNA is filed under the name uncultured bacterium. Its description in RNAcentral is "partial 16S ribosomal RNA". It matches the Rfam family "Bacterial small subunit ribosomal RNA", at positions 524 to 776 of the family's 1533-position model. The record is from RNAcentral.